CAAUAGCGUAUAUUAAAGCUGUUGCGGCUAAAAAGCUCGUAGUUGGAUUUCUGUCAAGGACAACUGGUCCGCCCUCCGGGUGAGCACAUAGUUUGGUCUUGGCAUCUUGCUGGAAGCUGUUGCUGCACUUGGCUGUGUGGCGCAGCGCCCAGCACUUUCACUUUGAGGAAAUUGGAGUGUUUCAAGCAGGCACAUGCCUUUGGACACAGUAGCAUGGAAUAAUUAGAUUGGGCUUUUGCUCCAAUUUGUCGGUUUCUGGAGCUGAGGUGAGAAUUAAUGGGGAUUGUUGGGGGCAUCCGAAUUUAGCCGUCAGAGGUGAAAUUCUUGGAUCUGCUAAAGACGGACAACUGCGAAAGCGUUUGCCCAGGAUGUUUUCAUUGA
RNAcentral lists this ribosomal RNA (381 nucleotides) under uncultured eukaryote. Its description in RNAcentral is "partial 18S ribosomal RNA". It matches the Rfam family "Eukaryotic small subunit ribosomal RNA", at positions 592 to 976 of the family's 1831-position model. The record is from RNAcentral.